Molecule: ribosomal RNA, 675 nt
Filed under: uncultured bacterium
Lineage: Bacteria
Description: bacterial SSU rRNA
Rfam family: Bacterial small subunit ribosomal RNA
Source: RNAcentral
ACUCCGGAAUAGCCUUUCGAAAGAAAGAUUAAUACCGGAUAGCAUACGAAUAUCGCAUGAUAUUUUUAUUAAAGAAUUUCGGUUAUCGAUGGGGAUGCGUUCCAUUAGUUUGUUGGCGGGGUAACGGCCCACCAAGACUACGAUGGAUAGGGGUUCUGAGAGGAAGGUCCCCCACAUUGGAACUGAGACACGGUCCAAACUCCUACGGGAGGCAGCAGUGAGGAAUAUUGGUCAAUGGGCGCGAGCCUGAACCAGCCAAGUAGCGUGAAGGAUGAAGGCUCUAUGGGUCGUAAACUUCUUUUAUAUGGGAAUAAAGUUUUCCACGUGUGGAAUUUUGUAUGUACCAUAUGAAUAAGGAUCGGCUAACUCCGUGCCAGCAGCCGCGGUAAUACGGAGGAUCCGAGCGUUAUCCGGAUUUAUUGGGUUUAAAGGGAGCGUAGGUGGAUUGUUAAGUCAGUCGUGAAAGUUUGCGGCUCAACCGUAAAAUUGCAGUUGAAACUGGCAGUCUUGAGUACAGUAGAGGUGGGCGGAAUUCGUGGUGUAGCGGUGAAAUGCUUAGAUAUCACGAAGAACUCCGAUUGCGAAGGCAGCUCACUAGACUGUUACUGACACUGAUGCUCGAAAGUGUGGGUAUCAAACAGGAUUAGAUACCCUGGUAGUCCACACAGUAAACGA